GGGCGUUAAGUUGCAGGGUAUAGACCCGAAACCCGGUGAUCUAGCCAUGGGCAGGUUGAAGGUUGGGUAACACUAACUGGAGGACCGAACCGACUAAUGUUGAAAAAUUAGCGGAUGACCUGUGGCUGGGGGUGAAAGGCCAAUCAAACCGGGAGAUAGCUGGUUCUCCCCGAAAGCUAUUUAGGUAGCGCCUCGUGAAUUCAUCUCCGGGGGUAGAGCACUGUUUCGGCUAGGGGGCCAUCCCGGCUUACCAACCCGAUGCAAACUGCGAAUACCGGAGAAUGUUAUCACGGGAGACACACGGCGGGUGCUAACGUCCGUCGUGAAGAGGGAAACAACCCAGACCGCCAGCUAAGGUCCCAAAGUCAUGGUUAAGUGGGAAACGAUGUGGGAAGGCCCAGACAGCCAGGAUGUUGGCUUAGAAGCAGCCAUCAUUUAAAGAAAGCGUAAUAGCUCACUGGUCGAGUCGGCCUGCGCGGAAGAUGUAACGGGGCUAAACCAUGCACCGAAGCUGCGGCAGCGAACGUAUCACUUAAAGCGAUUCAGCGGGUUACGAUUGACGGAGCGAAGCGACGUCAAAGCGUAUACAAAGUCGAGUCGGUUUAAGGAUACGUUCGUUGGGUAGGGGAGCGUUCUGUAAGCCUGUGAAGGUGKSCUGUGAGGSWUGCUGGAGGUAUCAGAAGUGCGAAUGCUGACAUAAGUAACGAUAAAGCGGGUGAAAAGCCCGCUCGCCGGAAGACCAAGGGUUCCUGUCCAACGUUAAUCGGGGCAGGGUGAGUCGACCCCUAAGGCGAGGCCGAAAGGCGUAGUCGAUGGGAAACGGGUUAAUAUUCCCGUACUUGGUGUUACUGCGAAGGGGGGACGGAGAAGGCUAUGUUGGCCGGGCGACGGUUGUCCCGGUUUAAGCGUGUAGGUGUGUGUUCCAGGUAAAUCCGGUUCACUUUAACACUGAGGCGUGAYGACGAGGCACUACGGUGCUGAAGCAACAAAUGCCCUGCUUCCAGGAAAAGCCUCUAAGCAUCAGGUAACAUCAAAUCGUACCCCAAACCGACACAGGUGGUCAGGUAGAGAAUACCAAGGCGCUUGAGAGAACUCGGGUGAAGGAACUAGGCAAAAUGGUGCCGUAACUUCGGGAGAAGGCACGCUGACACGUAGGUGAAGUGAUUUACUCAYGGAGCUGAAGUCAGUCGAAGAUACCAGCUGGCUGCAACUGUUUAUUAAAAACACAGCACUGUGCAAACACGAAAGUGGACGUAUACGGUGUGACGCCUGCCCGGUGCCGGAAGGUUAAUUGAUGGGGUCAGCGCAAGCGAAGCUCCUGAUCGAAGCCCCGGUAAACGGCGGCCGUAACUAUAACGGUCCUAAGGUAGCGAAAUUCCUUGUCGGGUAAGUUCCGACCUGCACGAAUGGCGUAAUGAUGGCCAGGCUGUCUCCACCCGAGACUCAGUGAAAUUGAACUCGCUGUGAAGAUGCAGUGUACCCGCGGCAAGACGGAAAGACCCCGUGAACCUUUACUAUAGCUUGACACUGAACAUUGAGCCUUGAUGUGUAGGAUAGGUGGGAGGCUUUGAAGUGUGGACGCCAGUCUGCAUGGAGCCGRCCUUGAAAUACCACCCUUUAAUGUUUGAUGUUCUAACGUGGACCCGUGAUCCGGGUUGCGGACAGUGUCUGGUGGGUAGUUUGACUGGGGCGGUCUCCUCCUAAAGAGUAACGGAGGAGCACGAAGGUUGGCUAAUCCUGGUCGGACAUCAGGAGGUUAGUGCAAUGGCAUAAGCCAGCUUGACUGCGAGCGUGACGGCGCGAGCAGGUGCGAAAGCAGGUCAUAGUGAUCCGGUGGUUCUGAAUGGAAGGGCCAUCGCUCAACGGAUAAAAGGUACUCCGGGGAUAACAGGCUGAUACCGCCCAAGAGUUCAUAUCGACGGCGGUGUUUGGCACCUCGAUGUCGGCUCAUCACAUCCUGGGGCUGAAGUAGGUCCCAAGGGUAUGGCUGUUCGCCAUUUAAAGUGGUACGCGAGCUGGGUUUAGAACGUCGUGAGACAGUUCGGUCCCUAUCUGCCGUGGGCGCUGGAGAACUGAGGGGGGCUGCUCCUAGUACGAGAGGACCGGAGUGGACGCAUCACUGGUGUUCGGGUUGUCAUGCCAAUGGCACUGCCCGGUAGCUAAAUGCGGAAGAGAUAAGUGCUGAAAGCAUCUAAGCACGAAACUUGCCCCGAGAUGAGUUCUCCCUGAGACUUWRRGUCUCCUGAAGGAACGUUGAAGACGACGACGUUGAUAGGCCGGGUGUGUAAGCGCAGCGAUGCGUUGAGCUAACCGGUACUAAUGAACCGUGAGGCUUAACCUU
Molecule: ribosomal RNA, 2341 nt
Filed under: Salmonella enterica
Lineage: Bacteria; Pseudomonadati; Pseudomonadota; Gammaproteobacteria; Enterobacterales; Enterobacteriaceae
Description: partial 23S ribosomal RNA
Source: RNAcentral